Brienomyrus brachyistius is the source of this 451-nucleotide long non-coding RNA. RefSeq lists it as uncharacterized. NCBI's taxonomy places the organism in Eukaryota, Metazoa, Chordata, Actinopteri, Osteoglossiformes, Mormyridae. The transcript has 3 exons. The record is from RefSeq and is a predicted model, not a curated record.
GAUUAUAUUCCAUGAAGUGGAUGCCAUUGGCCAACAACUGAGGAUGAAGAUUGACCAUGAUAACCAGAUUGAAUGUGGAGCCCCGAUGGAAAGGGGCCUCGUACUUUCGCACCUCUGCGCCCCACGCUGAGUUCUUGCAGGUGUUCAGGACCAUGUAUGAGGGACGAUUAUCAAACCUCACGUUGAUGUGAAGCGCUACGUCCGCUCCGGCCCUAUCCCCACACUGCAAAUUCACAUGGAACCUGGCGGAAAGGACAAGAUCCAGAUGAGAGAUUUUAUACGCAUUUCAGAGGACACGAAGCCAUCCCCCCCGCAUAGCUUUACGACUUGUGUUAGUACAGGGUUUCUGCAGGUUUCAACAAAUUAAACUGAAGACUUAAGACCAUUUUAAAACCAUUGUGAUUGCAAUUUAAGACCUAUUUCACAUCCAUGCUGGCAAAAAGUAUGAAGG